CAAUCUCUCAACCGCCUAUCUUCUCUUUUGCCCCACCAAAGUUACGGUCACCUCUUCACAGGCCUACAAGCUCAAAAGGGUUCGCCGACCACUGUAUAUACGGUGGUCAUUGUAUCUCGUCAAAACUUAACCCGAACGAAGCCCAACUCCUUCUAAUCACCGAGAUUUUCGAGACUUCCUAACACCAUUCAUCAGCGAUCUACCCUCUUCGGCCACCACCCACGGUGGCUGAUUGAACUUUGAACCAACGUAGGACGUAACUACACCUUCUUCCCCCUCUGUUCUUAACCCAAAACGAACCCUUGAGAAUUAAAAGUCACAACAACCCUAGAAAAACUAACAACCGAUGACUCUUGGCUCUAACCGUAUCGACCCACGACUCCGACGGUACCCCGAGGAUGCUACCAGCUUACCUCUCCUGUGAAACGGUUGAAUCACGAAGUUGGAAUGUUGAAAACGAGGCUCGGCUGUUGCGAGGAGUGUACGGCUACAGCUGGAGGCAAUCUUCCUUGGAUCCAUCUAGAAGGCGGCGGCAAAGGGUUUGUGAAAUUAGGGUUUGAAACCCUAAUUUAUGAUAUGAUCAUGUUUAAUCUGGACCAUUGAUCUGAAUAGAUCCAAUGGUUGAAGUUUUCAAAUGAUGAAGACCCUUUGGUGCUAGGGUUUGUUGAUAACUCUAAGCUUGUUGGGCUGCUGUUGGGUAUAGGUAGAUUUGGUCUAAUUAAGGCCUGGUUAUUUGGUCUUAGUUGUAAUGGUAAAUGGGUUAAAUAGUAUGGCUUGUAAAAUGGACAUUUAUUUAAAACUGAUCUGGUUCAAUUGGGCAUUUAA
Molecule: long non-coding RNA, 825 nt
Organism: Hibiscus syriacus
Lineage: Eukaryota; Viridiplantae; Streptophyta; Magnoliopsida; Malvales; Malvaceae
Exons: 2
Source: RefSeq, a predicted model, not a curated record